Molecule: ribosomal RNA, 485 nt
Filed under: uncultured bacterium
Lineage: Bacteria
Description: bacterial SSU rRNA
Rfam family: Bacterial small subunit ribosomal RNA
Source: RNAcentral
GACGACGCUGGCGGCGUGGAUUAGGCAUGCAAGUCGAACGGUAUCAUCCUUUCGGGGGUGAGAGAGUGGCGAACUGGUGAGUAACACGUAGGUUAUCUACCCUCAAGACGGGACAACCCAGGGAAACUUGGGCUAAUAUCGGAUGUGAGCAACUUUUAGUUGUUUGAAAGGUGGCGUAAGCUGUCGCUUGGGGAUGAGCCUGCGUCCUAUUAGUUAGUUGGUGAGGUAACGGCUCACCUAGGCAAUGAUAGGUAGGCGGCCUUAACGGGUGGUCGCCCACACUGGGAUUGAGAUACGGCCCAGACUCCUACGGGAGGCAGCAGUCGAGAAUAGUCUACAAUGGUCGGAAGACUGAUAGUGCGACGCCGCGUGAACGAUGAAUCCCUUCGGGGUGUAAAGUUCUUUUAUAUGUGAGCAGUGCUUCUUAUAUUAACAGUAUGGGGAGAGAGAUAUUAGCAUAUGAAUAAGCAACGGCUAACUCCGUG